This 2279-nucleotide ribosomal RNA is filed under the name human gut metagenome. RNAcentral's name for it is "bacterial LSU rRNA". It matches the Rfam family "Bacterial large subunit ribosomal RNA", at positions 14 to 2311 of the family's 2925-position model. The record is from RNAcentral.
AGGGCGCAUGGCGGAUGCCUUGGCUCUCGGAGGCGAUGAAGGACGUGAUAAGCUGCGAUAAGCUCCGGGGAGGUGCAAAUAACCUUUGAUCCGGGGAUUUCCGAAUGGGACAACCCGGCGUGUUGAAGACACGCCACCUGAUCAUUUCAGGAGCUAACGCAGGGAACUGAAACAUCUUAGUACCUGCAGGAAAAGAAAAUAACAAUGAUUCCCCCAGUAGUGGCGAGCGAACGGGGAAUAGCCCAAACCGUUCAUGUUACGGCAUGAUCGGGGUUGUAGGACUACGUCGUUGCAUGAAGACAUCGGAGAAGAACUUUCUGGAAAGAAAGACCAUAGAGCAUGACAGUUGCGUAUUCGUAUGUUGUCGAAGCAUAGUAGUAUCCUGAGUAGCGCGGAGCACGAGGAAUUCUGCGUGAAUCUGCCGGGACCAUCCGGUAAGGCUAAAUACUCCCGAGAGACCGAUAGCGAACCAGUACCGUGAGGGAAAGGUGAAAAGCACUUCGAACAGAAGAGUGAAAUAGUUCCUGAAACCGUGCGCCUACAAGCGGUCGGAGCUGCUUAAAGCAGUGACGGCGUGCCUUUUGCAUAAUGAACCUACGAGUUGCCUUUGCCGGCAAGGUUAAGUGUGACGACACACGUAUCCGAAGCGAAAGCGAGUCUGAAUAGGGCGUAUAGUCGGCAGUGGCAGACGCGAAACCAAGUGAUCUACCCUUGGCCAGGUUGAAGGCUGGGUAACACCAGCUGGAGGACCGCACCAAUAAGCGUUGAAAAGCUUCUGGAUGAGCUGAGGGUAGGGGUGAAAGGCUAAUCAAACUUGGAGAUAGCUCGUACUCCCCGAAAUGCAUUUAGGUGCAGCCUUGUGGGUUACUGAUGUGAGGUAGAGCGACUGAUAAGAUGCGAGGGCUUCACCGCCUAUCAAGUCUUGACAAACUCCGAAUGCGCAUCAGUUUUACCUCAGGAGUGAGGGCAUGGGUGCUAAGGUCCGUGCCCGAGAGGAGAAGAAUCCGGACCACCUGCUAAGGUCCCGAAAUGACAGCUAAGUUAAACUAACGAAGUCUGACUGCUAAGACAGCUAGGAUGUUGGCUUGGAAGCAGCCAUUCAUUUAAAGAGUGCGUAACAGCUCACUAGUCGAGGAGUCUGGCGUGGAUAAUAAUCGGGUAUUAAGUUGUCUACCGAAGCAGUGGGAUCAUUGAAAUGAUCGGUAGGGGAGCAUUCCAGUCAGCGUCGAAGGCGUACCGCGAGGUAUUCUGGAGCGUCUGGAAAAGCAAAUGUAGGUAUAAGUAACGAUAAAGGGGGCGGGAAACCCCCUCGCCGAAAGACUAAGGUUUCCUGAUCAACGCUAAUCGGAUCAGGGUAAGUCGGGUCCUAAGGCUCAGCCGAAGGGCGAUGCCGAUGGCAGAAACGGUUAAUAUUCCGUUACUACCUCCAGGAGUGAUGUGGAGACGCAGUAGUGACAAUGCCGCCAUCUGACGGAAUAGAUGGUUGAAGGGUGUAGAUGUUGAUCUUGGCAGGCAAAUCCACCAUGAGAAUCGAACCUGAUAGUAUGCCGCGUCCCUCGGGACAAGGCAAUAGUGCAUGUAAUCAUGCUGCCAAGAAAAUCCGCUAAACAAAAUCCUGUAGGUACCCGUACCGUAAACGGACACACGUAGUCGGGAUGAAUAUUCUAAGGCGCUUGAGUGAUUCACGGUUAAGGAACUAGGCAAACUGACCCUGUAACUUCGGGAUAAAGGGUCCCUACCCGGUGACGGGAGGGCGCAGAGAAUAGGUCCAGGCAACUGUUUAACAAAAACACAGGGCUGUGCUAAAUCGAAAGAUCCUGUAUACAGCCUGACACCUGCCCGGUGCUGGAAGGUUAAGAGGAGACGUCAUCGUUGAGAGAAGCGUUGAAUUGAAGCCCCAGUAAACGGCGGCCGUAACUAUAACGGUCCUAAGGUAGCGAAAUUCCUUGUCGGGUAAGUUCCGACCUGCACGAAUGGUGUAAUGAUCUGGACGCUGUCUCAACCGUGAGCUCAGUGAAAUUGUAGUAUCGGUGAAGAUGCCGAUUACCCGCGAUGGGACGAAAAGACCCCGUGAACCUUUACUAUAGCUUAUCAUUGAAUCUGGGCACGUGAUGUGUAGGAUAGGUCGGAGGCUUUGAAGGGGGUACGCCAGUAUCCUUGGAGCCGCUGUUGAAAUACGACCCUUCAUUUGUUUGGAUUCUAACCCGUGUAUAUGGGGACACUGAUUGGUGGGUAGUUUGACUGGGGUGGUCGCCUCCAAAAGCGUAACGGAGGCUUCU